GGGCGUGUAGCCUAGCUUGGACAUGGCGACAGCCUCCUAAGCUGUAGAUCAGGGGUUCAAAUCCCCUCACGCCCG
This 75-nucleotide transfer RNA is filed under the name Methanosarcinales archaeon. RNAcentral's name for it is "tRNA-Arg". It matches the Rfam family "tRNA". From Rfam's summary of the family: Transfer RNA (tRNA) molecules are approximately 80 nucleotides in length. Their secondary structure includes four short double-helical elements and three loops (D, anti-codon, and T loops). Further hydrogen bonds mediate the characteristic L-shaped molecular structure. tRNAs have two regions of fundamental functional importance: the anti-codon, which is responsible for specific mRNA codon recognition, and the 3' end, to which the tRNAs corresponding amino acid is attached (by aminoacyl-tRNA synthetases). tRNAs cope with the degeneracy of the genetic code in two manners: having more than one tRNA (with a specific anti-codon) for a particular amino acid; and 'wobble' base-pairing, i.e. permitting non-standard base-pairing at the 3rd anti-codon position. Lineage: Archaea; Methanobacteriati; Methanobacteriota; Methanomicrobia; Methanosarcinales. The record is from RNAcentral.